RNAcentral lists this ribosomal RNA (826 nucleotides) under uncultured organism. RNAcentral's name for it is "bacterial SSU rRNA". It matches the Rfam family "Bacterial small subunit ribosomal RNA", at positions 48 to 845 of the family's 1533-position model. The record is from RNAcentral.
CUUACACAUGCAAGUCGAACGAGAAAUUUUAGCUUGCUAGAGAAAGUAAAGUGGCGCACGGGUGAGUAACGCGUGGGUAAUCUGCCUCCGAAUCGGGGAUAACAUUGCGAAAGCGAUGCUAAUACCGGAUAAAAUCUGGUUGGCUUCGGUGAACCGGAUCAAAGGUGGUCUCUUUAUAAAAGCUACCGUUUGGAGAUGAGCUCGCGUACCAUUAGCUAGUUGGUGAGGUAAAGGCUCACCAAGGCGACGAUGGUUAGCUGGUCUGAGAGGAUGAUCAGCCACACCGGAACUGGAACACGGUCCGGACUCCUACGGGAGGCAGCAGUGAGGAAUUUUGCGCAAUGGGGGAAACCCUGACGCAGCAACGCCGCGUGAGUGAUGAAGGCUUUCGGGUCGUAAAGCUCUGUCAGGUGGGAAGAACCCACCAAGUGUUAAGACCACUUGGUGCUGACGGUACCACCGAAGGAAGCACCGGCUAACUCCGUGCCAGCAGCCGCGGUAAUACGGGGGGUGCGAGCGUUAUUCGGAAUCAUUGGGCGUAAAGGGCGCGCAGGCGGCUUUGUAAGUCAGAUGUGAAAUCCCGGGGCUUAACCCCGGAAGUGCAUAUGAAACUAUGAGACUUGAGUAUGGGAGAGGGAAGCGGAAUUCCUGGUGUAGCGGUGAAAUGCGUAGAUAUCAGGAGGAACACCGGUGGCGAAGGCGGCUUCCUGGACCAAUACUGACGCUGAGGCGCGAAGGCGUGGGGAGCGAACAGGAUUAGAUACCCUGGUAGUCCACGCAGUAAACGUUGAUCACUACGUGUAGCGGGGUAUAGACCCCUGCUGUG